AGAUUGAACGCUGGCGGCAGGCCUAACACAUGCAAGUCGAGCGGUAGAGAGGUGCUUGCACCUCUUGAGAGCGGCGGACGGGUGAGUAAAGCCUAGGAAUCUGCCUGGUAGUGGGGGAUAACGCUCGGAAACGGACGCUAAUACCGCAUACGUCCUACGGGAGAAAGCAGGGGACCUUCGGGCCUUGCGCUAUCAGAUGAGCCUAGGUCGGAUUAGCUAGUUGGUGAGGUAAUGGCUCACCAAGGCGACGAUCCGUAACUGGUCUGAGAGGAUGAUCAGUCACACUGGAACUGAGACACGGUCCAGACUCCUACGGGAGGCAGCAGUGGGGAAUAUUGGACAAUGGGACGAAAGCCUGAUCCAGCCAUGCCGCGUGGAGGAUGAA
Molecule: ribosomal RNA, 385 nt
Filed under: uncultured soil bacterium
Lineage: Bacteria
Description: bacterial SSU rRNA
Rfam family: Bacterial small subunit ribosomal RNA
Source: RNAcentral